Molecule: ribosomal RNA, 504 nt
Filed under: uncultured bacterium
Lineage: Bacteria
Description: bacterial SSU rRNA
Rfam family: Bacterial small subunit ribosomal RNA
Source: RNAcentral
GAUCCUGGCUCAGGAUGAACGCUGGCGGCGUGCCUAAUACAUGCAAGUGAAACGGGUAUCUUCGGAUACCAGUCGCGGACGGGUGAGUAAUACAUAGGCAACCUGCCUUUAUGAGGGGGAUAACCGAGGGAAACUUUGGCUAAUACCGCAUGAAGACUCUAAGGCAUCUUAGAGGGAUAAAAGUUGGGAAACAACGCAUGAAGAUGGGCUUAUGGCGCAUUAGCUAGUUGGUGAGAUAGAAGCCCACCAAGGUAAUGAUGCGUAGCCGACCUGAGAGGGUGAACGGCCACAUUGGGACUGAGACACGGCCCAAACUCCUACGGGAGGCAGCAGUAGGGAAUUUUCGGCAAUGGGGGGAACCCUGACCGAGCAACGCCGCGUGAAGGAAGAAGGUUUUCGGAUUGUAAACCUCUGUUAUAAGGGAAGAACGGAUUGGAUAGGGAAUGAUCUGAUAGUGACGGUACCUUAUUAGAAAGCCACGGCUAACUACGUGCCAGCCGCCGC